GAGCUGACUUGUAAUAGACAAAAAGGUCAUUUGAAUUAUCUGAUGUGACAAAAUAUUGCUAUAUGCAAAUUGAAUGUGACACAUGCACGGUCCGAGCCUUGUCUAGGUAGGGCUGAAGCCCGACCUAACCCAUCACUUCUGAAGAAAAAAAGUUCCUCAACCAAUUAUUUCUUACUUAGUCCAGUUUUAUUACUCAAGACAAAAG
Molecule: long non-coding RNA, 205 nt
Filed under: Prunus persica (peach)
Lineage: Eukaryota; Viridiplantae; Streptophyta; Magnoliopsida; Rosales; Rosaceae
Description: long non-coding RNA (PPER_LNC004308)
Source: RNAcentral